Molecule: long non-coding RNA, 508 nt
Organism: Cyprinus carpio carpio
Lineage: Eukaryota; Metazoa; Chordata; Actinopteri; Cypriniformes; Cyprinidae
Source: Ensembl
GAGCCUCUGGAGCUCUGCACCAGAACUCUUGCUGCUGUGUGUCUCUCUGCUGUCAGAUCACUCGGCCGUUCCCCAUAUGGCUACAGUGUCUAUGUGCAGGAGCAGGGUUGCCACGCGGUUACAAUGUGAUUCACAAUUGCACUAUCCUUUCUAAAUUGGCUUCUAAUUGUUUCAUUAUGUAAUUGGCAUGAUACAAUUUUACAUGACUGAAUUACGGCCAGGAUAGGUCAAACAAGGCUCAAGAAUGAUAGGAGCAGUAGGCAUGUCAUCGGAGACCUUCUGAUUUCUGUCUAUCACUGGUAUUAGCAAGUUGUAUGGGAAAGGACUAAGUGAACUACACUUUUUGUCAUAAGCAAGCAGUAGCCGGCAGGCAAUACAGGUAUUAGUCUACCUACACCCUCUGGCUAACAUCAGACUGGCAAGUUUGUGAUCGUAAGAUCCAGGUGAAGCUAGCGUGAGACUUAAAAGAGACACUAGGUCCCCAGUGAAUGGAUAAUUGAAAGUAUAG